GAUGAACGCUGGCGGCGUGCCUAAUACAUGCAAGUCGAGCGAACAGACGAGGAGCUUGCUCCUCUGACGUUAGCGGCGGACGGGUGAGUAACACGUAGGUAACCUACCUAUAAGACUGGGAUAACUUCGGGAAACCGGAGCUAAUACCGGAUAAUAUUUUGAACCGCAUGGUUCGAUAGUGAAAGACGGCUUUGCUAUCACUUAUAGAUGGAUCUGCGCCGCAUUAGCUAGUUGGUAAGGUAACGGCUUACCAAGGCAACGAUACGUAGCCGACCUGAGAGGGUGAUCGGCCACACUGGAACUGAGACACGGUCCAGACUCCUACGGGAGGCAGCAGUAGGGAAUCUUCCGCAAUGGGCGAAAGCCUGACGGAGCAACGCCGCGUGAGUGAUGAAGGUCUUCGGAUCGUAAAACUCUGUUAUUAGGGAAGAACAAACGUGUAAGUAACUGUGCACGUCUUGACGGUACCUAAUCAGAAAGCCACGGCUAACUACGUG
Molecule: ribosomal RNA, 497 nt
Filed under: uncultured bacterium
Lineage: Bacteria
Description: partial 16S ribosomal RNA
Rfam family: Bacterial small subunit ribosomal RNA
Source: RNAcentral